RNAcentral lists this ribosomal RNA (462 nucleotides) under uncultured bacterium. RNAcentral's name for it is "SSU rRNA". It matches the Rfam family "Bacterial small subunit ribosomal RNA", at positions 26 to 518 of the family's 1533-position model. The record is from RNAcentral.
AGAAUCAACGCUGGCGGCGUGCCUAACACAUGCAAGUCGAACGAGAAAGGGGUAGCAAUACCCUGAGUAAAGUGGCGCACGGGUGAGUAACACGUGACUAACCUACCCUUGAGUGGGGGGAUAACUGAGGGAAACCUUAGCUAAUACCGCAUAAUACCCACGGGUCAAAGGAGCAAUUCGCUCGAGGAGGGGGUCGCGGCCGAUUAGUUAGUUGGCGGGGUAAUGGCCCACCAAGACGAUGAUCGGUAUCCGGCCUGAGAGGGCGCACGGACACACUGGAACUGAAACACGGUCCAGACUCCUACGGGAGGCAGCAGUGGGGAAUUUGCGCAAUGGGGGAAACCCUGACGCAGCAACGCCGCGUGGAGGAUGAAGUCCUUCGGGACGUAAACUCCUUUCGAUCGGGACGAUUAUGACGGUACCGGAAGAAGAAGCCCCGGCUAACUUCGUGCCAGCAGCCGC